ACAGGGAAGAGAGGACACUAAGCGCACACACACACACAAUGCAUCCCUAUACAUACACAGACACACACAAUGCAUCCCUACACACACACACAGAAACACAACAUGCUUCCCUUACACACAGAGAAACACACAAUGCAUCCAUUACACACACACAAUGCAACACUUACACACAAAGACAAUGCAUCCUUUGCACACAUACACAGAAACACAUAAUGCAAACCCUUACACACACACUGCUUUUCUUACAUACACACAGAAACACAAUGCAUCACUAACACACACUCAAUGCACACACUUACAGACACACACCUUGCAUCCCUUAUGCAUACAAA
This is a non-coding RNA of Pelobates cultripes (western spadefoot toad), 332 nucleotides long. Lineage: Eukaryota; Metazoa; Chordata; Amphibia; Anura; Pelobatidae. The record is from the annotation of a GenBank genome assembly.